UUGUAGAUAUAAAAUAUUUUAAAAAUAAAUUUUAAUUUAUUUUUAUAUAUUUCAUUACUCUGACUAUUAAUCAAAACAAUUUUAAAAAAUAAUUUAAUAAUUAAAUUAAUUUAAAUAAAAAUAAUUUAAAUUGGUAUAUGUUGCGAUAUAAAUUUUUAUAAGAAGUUAUUAGUAAACAAAUUAUUUUAUAAAGGCAUAUGUGAAAAAAAUUAGAAAAAAAAAUUAUUUAAACAGUUUAUAAAAUUUUAUAUAAGUUAAAGGUUUAGUAAAUUUAAUGGAUUUAUAUAGUAACGUGUAGUUGUUAGUUAUUUAAUUUAUUUAGAAAAAAUAAUAAAAAUUAUUGAAUUUGAUCGAAUUUUUUUAUAAAACUAAAU
Molecule: long non-coding RNA, 374 nt
Filed under: Ananas comosus (pineapple)
Lineage: Eukaryota; Viridiplantae; Streptophyta; Magnoliopsida; Poales; Bromeliaceae
Description: long non-coding RNA (ACOM_LNC000308)
Source: RNAcentral